CAGCAGCAAAGGUGUGGUAAGAUGUGCCACAAAACUCUAGAUGGAUGACAUUCCAAUGAUCAAAGUUGGAUAACAAUAAAAGCUGAAACUAAAAGCAUAUGUAACAAUAGAAAUUCACGUGAGCAGAAUCAGUUUCUUUUCAAAGGAACAUUAAACUGAGCUCACUGAUCCUUUCAUAUCAUUACAGCAGAGCUUCUCUCCAACACUGGGUCAUCUAGGGCUAUCAGGUUUUCUUCAACAACAGCAGAGUCUUUACAAACGUUGAGUGCAGACAUGUCUGCUGCCAGCUGUCUUCUAUCUGAAGAUCAGUUUCUGUGCU
Non-coding RNA from Neolamprologus brichardi, 319 nucleotides. The record is from RefSeq and is a predicted model, not a curated record. NCBI's taxonomy places the organism in Eukaryota, Metazoa, Chordata, Actinopteri, Cichliformes, Cichlidae.